Molecule: transfer RNA, 77 nt
Filed under: candidate division WWE3 bacterium CG_4_10_14_0_2_um_filter_41_14
Lineage: Bacteria; candidate division WWE3
Description: tRNA-Arg
Rfam family: tRNA
About the family: Transfer RNA (tRNA) molecules are approximately 80 nucleotides in length.
Source: RNAcentral
GCCUUUGUAGCUCAAUUGGAUAGAGCAGUUCCGUCCUAAGGAAAAGGUUGUGGGUUCGAGUCCCGCCAAGGGCACCA